This 473-nucleotide ribosomal RNA is filed under the name uncultured organism. RNAcentral describes it as "partial 16S ribosomal RNA". It matches the Rfam family "Bacterial small subunit ribosomal RNA", at positions 335 to 799 of the family's 1533-position model. The record is from RNAcentral.
ACUCCUGCGGGAGGCAGCAGUGGGGAAUUUUGGACAAUGGGCGAAAGCCUGAUCCAGCAAUGCCGCGUGUGUGAAGAAGGCCUUCGGGUUGUAAAGCACUUUUGUCCGGAAAGAAAUCCUUGGCUCUAAUACAGUCGGGGGAUGACGGUACCGGAAGAAUAAGCACCGGCUAACUACGUGCCAGCAGCCGCGGUAAUACGUAGGGUGCGAGCGUUAAUCGGAAUUACUGGGCGUAAAGCGUGCGCAGGCGGUUUGCUAAGACCGAUGUGAAAUCCCCGGGCUCAACCUGGGAACUGCAUUGGUGACUGGCAGGCUAGAGUAUGGCAGAGGGGGGUAGAAUUCCACGUGUAGCAGUGAAAUGCGUAGAGAUGUGGAGGAAUACCGAUGGCGAAGGCAGCCCCCUGGGCCAAUACUGACGCUCAUGCACGAAAGCGUGGGGAGCAAACAGGAUUAGAUACCCGGGUAGUCCCAUG